Molecule: ribosomal RNA, 497 nt
Filed under: uncultured bacterium
Lineage: Bacteria
Description: partial 16S ribosomal RNA
Rfam family: Bacterial small subunit ribosomal RNA
Source: RNAcentral
GAUGAACGCUGGCGUCGUGCCUAAUACAUGCAAGUCGAGCGAACGGACGAGAAGCUUGCUUCUCUGAUGUUAGCGGCGGACGGGUGAGUAACACGUGGAUAACCUACCUAUAAGACUGGGAUAACUUCGGGAAACCGGAGCUAAUACCGGAUAAUAUUUUGAACCGCAUGGUUCAACAGUGAAAGACGGUCUUGCUGUCACUUAUAGAUGGAUCCGCGCUGCAUUAGCUAGUUGGUAAGGUAACGGCUUACCAAGACAACGAUGCAUAGCCGACCUGAGAGGGUGAUCGGCCACACUGGAACUGAGACACGGUCCAGGCUCCGACGGGAGGCAGCAGUAGGGAAUCUUCAGCAAUGGGCGAAAGCAUGACGGAGCAACGCCGCGUGAGUGAUGAAGGUCUUCGGAUCGUAAAACGCUGUUAUUAGGGAAGAACAUAUGUGUAAGUAACUGUGCACAUCUUGACGGUACCUAAUCAGAAAGCCACGGCUAACUACGUG